AACGAACGCUGGCGGCAUGCCUAACACAUGCAAGUCGAACGAGACCUUCGGGUCUAGUGGCGCACGGGUGCGUAACGCGUGGGAAUCUGCCCUUCGGUUGGGAAUAACUGAGAGAAAUUUCAGCUAAUACCUUAUAAUGUCUUCGGACCAAAGAUUUAUCGCCGAGGGAUGAGCCCGCGUAGGAUAGGUAGUUGGUGGGGUAAUGGCCUACCAAGCCGACGAUCCUUAGCUGGUCUGAGAGGAUGAUCAGCCACACUGGGACUGAGACACGGCCCAGACUCCUACGGGAGGCAGCAGUGGGGAAUAUUGGACAACGGGCGAAAGCCUGAUCCAGCAAUGCCGCGUGAGUGAUGAAGGCCUUAGGGUUGUAAAGCUCUUUUACCCGGGAUGAUAAUGACAGUACCGGGAGAAUAAGCUCCGGCUAGCUCCGUGCCAGCCGCCGCCGUAA
This 448-nucleotide ribosomal RNA is filed under the name uncultured bacterium. RNAcentral's name for it is "partial 16S ribosomal RNA". It matches the Rfam family "Bacterial small subunit ribosomal RNA", at positions 29 to 523 of the family's 1533-position model. The record is from RNAcentral.